UUAUUUUCAAUUUAGGUCAUCAAUUACAAUUUCUCAUAUGUUUUGUUCAUUUUGGUCCUUAUUUUGUAAAUUUUUAAUGUUUUUCCUUUGGCCAUUUUCUUGAAGUUUUUUUGCUUUUAAUUUCAUCAUUCAAUUAAAGUUUUUUUUUUUCAAUUUAACUUCAUUCCUUUUAUUUUCUUUCUUUUGUUAAAACUAUUUUUCAAUUCAAUUUAAC
This 214-nucleotide long non-coding RNA is filed under the name Populus trichocarpa (black cottonwood). RNAcentral describes it as "long non-coding RNA (PTRI_LNC000908)". The record is from RNAcentral. Lineage: Eukaryota; Viridiplantae; Streptophyta; Magnoliopsida; Malpighiales; Salicaceae.